AUUGAACGCUGGCGGAAUGCUUUACACAUGCCAGUCGAGCGGCAGCGCGGCCUUCGGGCUGGCGGCGAGCGGCGAACGGGUGAGUAAUGCAUCGGAACAUGCCCAGUCGUGGGGGAUAACACUUCGAAAGAAGUGCUAAUACCGCAUACGUCCUGAGGGGGAAAGCGGGGGAUCGCAAGACCUCGCGCGAUUGGAGUGGCCGAUGUCAGGUUAGCUAGUUGGUGGGGUAAAGGCCUACCAAGGCGACGAUCUGUAGCUGGUCUGAGAGGAUGAUCAGCCACACUGGGACUGAGACACGGCCCAGACUCCUACGGGAGGCAGCAGUGGGGAAUUUUGGACAAUGGGGGCAACCCUGAUCCAGCCAUUCCGCGUGAGUGAAGAAGGCCUUCGGGUUGUAAAGCUCUUUCGGCAGGAACGAAACGGUGGGCUCUAACAUAGUCCGCUAAUGACGGUACCUGAAGAAGAAGCACCGGCUAACUACGUG
RNAcentral lists this ribosomal RNA (484 nucleotides) under uncultured bacterium. RNAcentral's name for it is "partial 16S ribosomal RNA". It matches the Rfam family "Bacterial small subunit ribosomal RNA", at positions 29 to 507 of the family's 1533-position model. The record is from RNAcentral.